This 2057-nucleotide ribosomal RNA is filed under the name human gut metagenome. RNAcentral describes it as "bacterial LSU rRNA". It matches the Rfam family "Bacterial large subunit ribosomal RNA", at positions 790 to 2842 of the family's 2925-position model. The record is from RNAcentral.
UGCAAAACCGGCGGAUGAACUGUGGAUAGGGGUGAAAGGCUUAACAAAUCUGGAGAUAGCUGGUUCUCCCCGAAAACUAUUGAGGUAGUGCCUCGUGAAUGACUGCCGGGGGUAGAGCACUGUUAUGGCUAGGGGGACAUGGCGUCUUACCAAACCAUGGCAAACUCCGAAUACUGGCAAGUUGAAUCACGGGAGACAGAGCACCGGGUGCUAACGUCCGGACUCAAAAGGGAAACAACCCAGACCGCCGUUUAAGGUCCCUAAUAACAGCUAAGUGGAAAACGAAGUGUGAAGGCUAAGACAGUCAGGAAGUUGGCUUAGAAGCAGCCAUCCUUCAAAGAAAGCGUAAUAGCUCACUGAUCGAGUCCUCAUGCGCGGAAGAUGUAACGGGGCUAAGCUGUUAACCGAAAGCGCGGAUUUCCAAGCAAUUGGAAGUGGUAGGGGAGCGUUCUGUAAGCCGACGAAGGUGAUUCGUAAGGAUUGCUGGAGGUAUCAGAAGUGCGAAUGCUGACAUGAGUAACGAUAAAGCGGGUGAAAAGCCCGCUCGCCGUAAGCCCAAGGUUUCCUGCUCUACGUUCAUCGGAGCAGGGUGAGUCGGCCCCUAAGGCCAGGCUGAGAAGCGUAGUCGAUGGGAAGCUGAUUAAUAUUUCAGCACCACUGUUGAGUGCGAAGGGGGGACGGAGUUUUGCAAGUAAUCCGGGUGUUGGAUGUCCCGGUUGGCGAGCGUAGGAGGUGAGCAGGCAAAUCCGCUCACGCAUCUCCGAGACGAAGCCUCGAGGUCCUUAAGGACUGAAGUUACCGAAUGAACUUCCAGGAAAAGCCUCUAAGCUCCAGCUCAACGGUGACCGUACCGUAAACCGACACAGGUGGGCGAGUUGAAUAUACUCAGGCGCUUGAGAGAACUCGGGAGAAGGAACUCGGCAAAUUGACACCGUAACUUCGGGAUAAGGUGUGCCUUGGUAGCGUGAAAGGAGAAACUCCCCAAGCGCGAAGAGGUCACAGAAAAUAGGGGGCUGCGACUGUUUACUAAAAACACAGCACUCUGCAAAGACGAAAGUCGACGUAUAGGGUGUGAUGCCUGCCCGGUGCCGGAAGAUUAAGUGAUGGGGUGAGAGCUCCUGAUCGAAGUCCCGGUAAACGGCGGCCGUAACUAUAACGGUCCUAAGGUAGCGAAAUUCCUUGUCGGGUAAGUUCCGACCUGCACGAAUGGCAUAACGAUGGCCCCACUGUCUCCUCCCGAGACUCAGUGAAGUUGAAAUGUUUGUGAUGAUGCAAUCUCCCCGCGGCUAGACGGAAAGACCCCAUGAACCUUUACUGCAGCUUUGCAUUGGACUUUGAACCGAUCUGUGUAGGAUAGGCGGGAGGCAAUGAAACUUUGACGCCAGUCAGAGUGGAGCCGACGUUGAAAUACCGCCCUGAUUUGUUUGAGGUUCUAACCGCAGACAGUGAGCCUGUCUCGGGACCGUGCAUGGUAGGCAGUUUGACUGGGGCGGUCUCCUCCUAAAGGGUAACGGAGGAGUACAAAGGUACGCUAGGUACGGUCGGAAAUCGUGCUGAUAGUGCAAUGGCGCAAGCGUGCUUGACUGCGAGACCGACAAGUCGAGCAGAUGCGAAAGCAGGUCAUAGUGAUCCGGUGGCACUGAAUGGAAGGGCCAUCGCUCAACGGAUAAAAGGUACUCUGGGGAUAACAGGCUGAUACCGCCCAAGAGUUCACAUCGACGGCGGUGUUUGGCACCUCGAUGUCGGCUCAUCUCAUCCUGGGGCUGUAGCCGGUCCCAAGGGUAUGGCUGUUCGCCAUUUAAAGAGGUACGUGAGCUGGGUUUAAAACGUCGUGAGACAGUUUGGUCCCUAUCUGCCGUGGGCGUUGGAAGUUUGAGAGGGGCUGCUCCUAGUACGAGAGGACCGGAGUGGACGAACCUCUGGUGUACCGGUUGUCACGCCAGUGGCAUCGCCGGGUAGCUAUGUGCGGAAAAGAUAACCGCUGAAAGCAUCUAAGCGGGAAACUUGCCUGAAGAUAAGUCUUCCCUGGGGUUUAACCCCACUGAAGGGUCGUUUGA